Molecule: ribosomal RNA, 468 nt
Filed under: uncultured bacterium
Lineage: Bacteria
Description: partial 16S ribosomal RNA
Rfam family: Bacterial small subunit ribosomal RNA
Source: RNAcentral
GACGAACGCUGGCGGCGUGCUUAACACAUGCAAGUCGAACGGAAAGGCCCUGCUUUUGUGGGGUGCUCGAGUGGCGGACGGGUGAGUAACACGUGAGUAACCUGCCCUUGACUUUGGGAUAACUUCAGGAAACUGGGGCUAAUACCGGAUAGGAGCUCCUGCUGCAUGGUGGGGGUUGGAAAGUUUCGGCGGUUGGGGAUGGACUCGCGGCUUAUCAGCUUGUUGGUGGGGUAGUGGCUUACCAAGGCUUUGACGGGUAGCCGGCCUGAGAGGGUGACCGGCCACAUUGGGACUGAGAUACGGCCCAGACUCCUACGGGAGGCAGCAGUGGGGAAUAUUGCACAAUGGGCGGAAGCCUGAUGCAGCAACGCCGCGUGCGGGACGACGGCCUUCGGGUUGUAAACCGCUUUCGCCUGUGACGAAGCGUGAGUGACGGUAAUGGGUAAAGAAGCACCGGCUAACUACGUG